This is a non-coding RNA of Obba rivulosa, 89 nucleotides long. Lineage: Eukaryota; Fungi; Basidiomycota; Agaricomycetes; Polyporales; Gelatoporiaceae. The record is from the annotation of a GenBank genome assembly.
GGCGAGAUGGCCGAGCGGUCUAAGGCGCCAGACUAAGGUUACCUGUCAUCUGGUCCGAAAGGGCGUGGGUUCGAAUCCCACUCUCGUCA